CAUGUGCUCGACUCUUCAUUGAGUCGAACAAAGCCGUAAGGCGCUUUGAGAGGGGCCCGCGGCCCAUCAGGUAGUUGGUGAGGUAACGGCCCACCAAGCCGAUGACGGGUAGCUGUUCUGAGAGGAAGAUCAGCCACACUGGCACUGAGAUACGGGCCAGACUCCUACGGGAGGCAGCAGUGAGGAAUAUUGCGCAAUGGACGAAAGUCUGACGCAGCGACGCCGCGUGGGCGAUGAAGGCCUUCGGGUCGUAAAGCCCUUUUAGCAGGGACGAGUGAGGACGGUACCUGCUGAAUAAGUCUCGGCUAACUACGUGCCAGCAGCCGCGGUAAAACGUAGGAGGCGAGCGUUAUCCGGAUUUACUGGGCGUAAAGCGCGCGUAGGCGGUUGGGUAAGUCGGACGUGAAAGCCCCUGGCUCAACUGGGGGAGGCCGUUCGAUACUGCCCGGCUUGAGGGUGAGAGGAAAGUGGA
This 472-nucleotide ribosomal RNA is filed under the name uncultured bacterium. RNAcentral's name for it is "bacterial SSU rRNA". It matches the Rfam family "Bacterial small subunit ribosomal RNA", at positions 172 to 665 of the family's 1533-position model. The record is from RNAcentral.